Molecule: ribosomal RNA, 425 nt
Filed under: Achromobacter insuavis
Lineage: Bacteria; Pseudomonadati; Pseudomonadota; Betaproteobacteria; Burkholderiales; Alcaligenaceae
Description: bacterial SSU rRNA
Rfam family: Bacterial small subunit ribosomal RNA
Source: RNAcentral
AAGCGGUGGAUGAUGUGGAUUAAUUAGAUGCAACGCGAAAAACCUUACGUGCCCUUGACAUGUCUGGAAUGCAGAAGAGAUUUGGCAGUUCUCGCAAGAGAACCGGAACACAGGUGUUGCAUGGCUGUCGUCAGCUCGUGUCGUGAGAUGUUGGGUUAAGUCCCGCAACGAGCGCAACCCUUGUCAUUAGUCCUACGAAAGGGCACUCUAAUGAGACUGCCGGUGACAAACCGGAGGAAGGGGGGGAUGACGUCAAGUCCUCAUGGCCCUUAUGGGUAGGGCUUCACACGUCAUACAAUGGUCGGGACAGAGGGUCGCCAACCCGCGAGGGGGAGCCAAUCCCAGAAAACCGAUCGUAGUCCGGAUCGCAGUCUGCAACUCGACUGCGUGAAGUCGGAAUCGCUAGUAAUCGCGGAUCAGCAUGU